Molecule: ribosomal RNA, 256 nt
Filed under: uncultured Pseudomonas sp.
Lineage: Bacteria; Pseudomonadati; Pseudomonadota; Gammaproteobacteria; Pseudomonadales; Pseudomonadaceae
Description: partial 16S ribosomal RNA
Rfam family: Bacterial small subunit ribosomal RNA
Source: RNAcentral
AUGUGGGCGACUCUAAGGAGACUAGCCGGUGACAAACCGGAGGAAGGUGGGGAUGACGUCAAGUCAUCAUGGCCCUUACGGCCUGGGCUACACACGUGCUACAAUGGUCGGUACAAAGGGUUGCCAAGCCGCGAGGUGGAGCUAAUCCCAUAAAACCGAUCGUAGUCCGGAUCGCAGUCUGCAACUCGACUGCGUGAAGUCGGAAUCGCUAGUAAUCGUGAAUCAGAAUGUCACGGUGAAUACGUUCCCGGGCCUU